This 115-nucleotide ribosomal RNA is filed under the name Danio rerio (zebrafish). Lineage: Eukaryota; Metazoa; Chordata; Actinopteri; Cypriniformes; Danionidae. The record is from RNAcentral.
CAAGGCAGCUAGCUCUCUGCAACUCUCACAUGGUCGCCCACUGAAGCUAAGCAGGGCUGCGCCCGGUCAGUACCUGGAGGGGAAACCACAUGGGAAAGCUAGGUUGCUGCCGGAA